GGUCAGGCCCGAUGUGACGGUGGAAGACCAACUCCGCCAGGACUGGAAAGUAGCAACGGUACGUCCACUCCUCCGUGUGCAUCGCAAGCCUGACCCAC
RNAcentral lists this signal recognition particle RNA (98 nucleotides) under bacterium DOLZORAL124_64_63. RNAcentral describes it as "signal recognition particle sRNA small type". It matches the Rfam family "Bacterial small signal recognition particle RNA". Rfam says of the family: The signal recognition particle (SRP) is a universally conserved ribonucleoprotein involved in the co-translational targeting of proteins to membranes. Archaeal SRP consists of a 7S RNA and homologues of the eukaryotic SRP19 and SRP54 proteins. In most bacteria, the SRP consists of a 4.5S RNA and the Ffh protein (a homologue of the eukaryotic SRP54 protein). The record is from RNAcentral.